RNAcentral lists this ribosomal RNA (490 nucleotides) under uncultured bacterium. Its description in RNAcentral is "partial 16S ribosomal RNA". It matches the Rfam family "Bacterial small subunit ribosomal RNA", at positions 30 to 507 of the family's 1533-position model. The record is from RNAcentral.
AUUGAACGCUGGCGGCAGGCCUAACACAUGCAAGUCGAACGGUAACAGGAAGAAGCUUGCUUCUUUGCUGACGAGUGGCGGACGGGUGAGUAAUGUCUGGGAAACUGCCUGAUGGAGGGGGAUAACUACUGGAAACGGUAGCUAAUACCGCAUAAUGUCGCAAGACCAAGGAGGGGGACCUUCGGGCCUCUUGCCAUCGGAUGUGCCCAGAUGGGAUUAGCUAGUAGGUGGGGUAACGGCUCACCUAGGCGACGAUCCCUAGCUGGUCUGAGAGGAUGACCAGCCACACUGGAACUGAGACACGGUCCAGACUCCUACGGGAGGCAGCAGUGGGGAAUAUUGCACAAUGGGCGCAAGCCUGAUGCAGCUAUGCCGCGUGUAUGAAGAAGGCCUUCGGGUUGUAAAGUACUUUCAGCGGGGAGGAAGGGAGGAAAGUUAAUACCUUUGCUCAUUGACGUUACCCGCAGAAGAAGCACCGGCUAACUCCGUG